CUUUACUGUAGCUUUGCAGUGGUAUGAGGGAUUGUAUGUGUAGCAUAGGUGGGACCCUUUGAAGUUCUGGCGCCAGCCGGGAUGGAGGGGUUAGUGAAAUACCACCCUUACGAUCUUUCAUAUCUAACCUAGCCUUCGAAACGAGGGCAGGGACCCUGCAUGGUGGGCAGUUUGACUGGGGCGGUCGCCUCCCAAAGAUUAACGGAGGCGCGCGAUGGUGGGCUCAAGCUGGUCGGAAAUCAGCUGUCGAGUGCAAUGGCAUAAGCCCGCCUGACUGCGAGACGUACAUGUCGAGCAGAGACGAAAGUCGGCCAUAGUGAUCCGGUGGCUUCCAUGUGGAAGGGCCAUCGCUCAACGGAUAAAAGGUA
Molecule: ribosomal RNA, 368 nt
Filed under: uncultured organism
Description: bacterial LSU rRNA
Rfam family: Bacterial large subunit ribosomal RNA
Source: RNAcentral